Molecule: long non-coding RNA, 647 nt
Filed under: Nannospalax galili (Upper Galilee mountains blind mole rat)
Lineage: Eukaryota; Metazoa; Chordata; Mammalia; Rodentia; Spalacidae
Description: lncRNA (ENSNGAG00000024531.1)
Source: RNAcentral
CUUUAUGACUUAUCUGUAGUCUUGCCUCGUUAUUCUCUGAAGUCCUAAAAGACUUUUGCCUCUCCAUAACUUCUUCUAUCUCUUUUUCCCCACCUUGAUGUAUUUCAGCAGAUCUUGCUUCCUUUCCUGCUCAGGCACCUGUGUGGAUAUAAUUUGAGGAGUGGCAGGCAAAGCAGAUGGAGAUGGAGACUAUGAAAUGCCAUAGCCAAGUAACAAAGGCUUGACAUUUUCAAUGGAUAUUUGACCUGGAAGCUUUCGAGGAUGAUGGUGAUUUUCAUGAGUGUUGAUCACCAUUGGGUCCAGUACCUGAAGGAGCAAGACAGCUAGCCCCCAGUGAACAACAGUGUGCCCUAUUGAUUGAAGACAAGUGAAAAAAGUUACAAAUUUGGCUCAAUUUGACUGGGCAUUUUUUUAAUAAGAGAUUUUUUUCCUUUAUAAAAAUAACAUCAACUUUUAAAUAGUAAAGAACAUGUAUUUUCUAAGCCAGGAAGUAAUAGCUUGUAACAUCUGAGUACAUCGCCCCUUUAGUAAUGUACAUAAUAUUAUUUUAUAACAAAAUUGACAUCUCAUUUAUAUAUCAUUUUAUUCUCUGUUGAUUUUUCAUUUAAAAAUUAAAAAGUGUACUCCAUAUAAUGUUCUUUGAUAAC